RNAcentral lists this small RNA (81 nucleotides) under Halpernia frigidisoli. Its description in RNAcentral is "Flavo-1 RNA". It matches the Rfam family "Flavo-1 RNA". Lineage: Bacteria; Pseudomonadati; Bacteroidota; Flavobacteriia; Flavobacteriales; Weeksellaceae. The record is from Rfam by way of RNAcentral.
UUCUAGCCGCGAUGGAAAUGGAAAUCCUUUUUUGUCCGCCGCGGCGGAUAAAAAAGAUUGGAAUGAACAGCGGGAAGACUU